AACGAACGCUGGCGGCAUGCCUAACACAUGCAAGUCGAACGAGAACUUCGGGUCUAGUGGCGCACGGGUGCGUAACGCGUGGGAACCUGCCCUUAGGUUCGGAAUAACUCCCCGAAAGGGGUGCUAAUACCGGAUAAUGUCUUCGGACCAAAGAUUUAUCGCCUUUGGAUGGGCCCGCGUUGGAUUAGCUAGUUGGUAGGGUAAAAGCCUACCAAGGCGACGAUCCAUAGCUGGUCUGAGAGGAUGAUCAGCCACACUGGGACUGAGACACGGCCCAGACUCCUACGGGAGGCAGCAGUGGGGAAUAUUGGACAAUGGGCGAAAGCCUGAUCCAGCAAUGCCGCGUGAGUGAUGAAGUCCUUAGGGUUGUAAAGCUCUUUUACCCGGGAUGAUAAUGACAGUACCGGGAGAAUAAGCUCCGGCUAACUCCGUG
This 433-nucleotide ribosomal RNA is filed under the name uncultured bacterium. RNAcentral describes it as "partial 16S ribosomal RNA". It matches the Rfam family "Bacterial small subunit ribosomal RNA", at positions 29 to 507 of the family's 1533-position model. The record is from RNAcentral.